Molecule: ribosomal RNA, 253 nt
Filed under: uncultured bacterium
Lineage: Bacteria
Description: partial 16S ribosomal RNA
Rfam family: Bacterial small subunit ribosomal RNA
Source: RNAcentral
UACAGAGGGUGCAAGCGUUAAUCGGAAUUACUGGGCGUAAAGGGCGCGUAGGCGGUGAAUUAAGUCGGAUGUGAAAUCCCUGGGCUCAACCUAGGAACUGCAUCCGAUACUGGUUUGCUAGAGUGCAGUAGAGGGUAGUGGAAUUUCCGGUGUAGCGGUGAAAUGCGUAGAUAUCGGAAGGAACACCAGUGGCGAAGGCGGCUACCUGGACUGACACUGACGCUGAGGCGCGAGAGCGUGGGGAGCAAACAGG